CGAGAACCAUAUUAUCUGCGACUCAACACAGCUUUGAGGAGCAGUUGACAGAAAAUCGGAUGAAAAAUGAUUUUUCAAAACUUGCUCAAAAUAAUGGUGCUAACUGCUGGUUUGGAGGCCUACAAAAUUUUGGUGUAUUUCCCAACGCCUUCCUUCAGUCAUCAACGUCCGAUAAUGGCUCUGACGGAACGGUUAGUCACAAGGGGUCAUGAAUUGUUCGUGAUCAGCCCAAAUCCUGUACCGGGACUCAACGAUCACGAGAAUUACACCUUCGUGGAUCUCUCGUUUUCUUAUAAUAUUUCUCGGACGAUACUCAAGAUGACGAUACUUUCAAUAUGCAAAAACCGAUAACCUGGUGGGAAUUCACUUCGCAAUUUCCAGCCUUGGCUGGUAUUCCAAGACAACAACUGCUCAGUGACUCACAUUUGCGAUUUCAAAGAACCACGUGAUUCUGAAGAAGAGGCAGGCUUUGAGGUCGAACCAGCCUCUAUGUGUGACGGUUAUUCAGGGAAAGUCAAUGUGUUCCUCCUAACACAUACUGUGGAGGCUUUGCCGGGGUCGGAUUUUUUAGAUUUGCGGGUCACGCAAUGUUUCAAUAACAAUCUCAUAGCUUCUGUUCAUGAAAGUUGGGUGCACAUUCUGUUUUUCAACAGCACGACUUUUAGAUUGCCGGCACUCCGUAGAGAUUUAGCUGCUGUCGUCCCACGGAGCAAAUUCCGCGUUAUCCAAAGGAAAUUGGAAGGCGCAAAAAAAGGAGAAAUCUUCUGGGACGCGGAGAGAUUCUACAGUUGCGUUGAUACGAUGGAAAAAAGUACCUACGACGAAGAUACAAUCGUUAGUACGAUCGUGAAAGUGGAAAGAUUUCUUCGGCGCAAGUUCGAAUUAAGAAAGGCCCUACUGGUGAGAAAAUACACCUGUAUUAUCUCUCAAAUGGUGAUAGUAAAUGGCGGGUGAAAACGUUCGCAUCCCUAAAAGACAGGCGAAUUGCCUUGACAAAUAUUAUCUUAUCGACGAAACCCAACAAUUUCUUCUGCAAUACAGACCCUGUUGGUCAUUAUCAGACACAGAAAGGUGUGACCCGAUCAAAGCCUGCUCUCCCGAGGGGUGAGUUGGCCCCGGUUGACAAGUAUGCCCGUGUCGGGGAAAUGAUACGUAUAACCGACCCUACGCCUGAAGAAAAACUUAAGGAAAAACUGAAAUCUCGUAAGUAUAUAUCCAUUAUAGACCCGUGAUUCUUAACAUAGGUUCAUUAUAGACUCCUCUCUUCUUUUGGAAUAUAUUAUUCCUCUCCAAGGGGGCAUUUAGAAACUUCUCACUUCAACGUGAAAUUAAAAUUCUUCCUGAAGUGUGAUCUAGGGGCGCCUACAAUUUUUUCCCCUCGGCGAGCUGGGGCGUAAGUUUUGUCGGUAACUGAAUUUAAAGCCUUUGCCUUCAGCUUAUCAACUCUUUUUUCGUUGGGAACCGUUUAUCAUCUGAUAUCACAUCUUAUUGCAGAACCUACUAUUUUAUCAGUCACUUUUUUUAACGCUGGGCCGUGUUAUCACUUAAGAGUAAACGACGUUUCUCAUUUUGUAAGUGAGGAGAUUUUUCAUUCAGUCCCCAUUAAUUAGAUAUUUACGAUGGCAUUCUUUUACAGGCAUCUCUCCUGCUGAGUUAGAGGCGCUCGUCGACGAACGAUUCGCCCAACGGAAAGCUGCUCUUGAAGAGGAAAUUCGAGAAAAAAUGAACUCUUUUUUCAAUGACAAAAUGCGUACUACGGCAUUUCAGAGUACUGCUGAUUCAGAACCACACAACCUUACUUCUACACAAACAGGGGAAACGGCAGCCCAGCCUAAUGAUUCUUAUUCUGGAAAAGGGAAGUCAUGGCGUUCUGGCCCAACCAAGUUUAAAAGUUGUAAGUAUAGCUUUUUAAUAAACGGUCCCUCUUACCCUACAACGGUCCAGUAAGGUUUCGCAAUCUGAGAAAGGGAUUCAUUACUGCAGCAACAUAUUGGUACGUGGGGUGCACUUCAAAGUUUUUCUCCUGUUCCCAAUUUUCACUCCGUGUACUUCCAUUCGGAGCACGCAGCAAGUCGAUACUCCGUCACGUUACGGAUACUACUCACGUAAAUCACGCCUCUACGUCUUUUACGCAGCCACGUCCUUCACCGCCACCACGUUAUUCACGUAAUUCACGUAAUUCACGUCUCUUGCUACAUUCGGGUCAUUCACGUCA
This 2215-nucleotide long non-coding RNA is filed under the name Bemisia tabaci. Its description in RNAcentral is "lncRNA ENSSSA2NGG000342". The record is from RNAcentral. Lineage: Eukaryota; Metazoa; Arthropoda; Insecta; Hemiptera; Aleyrodidae.